GCAUUGGUUCAGUGGCGGAAUUCUUGCCUUCCAUGCAGGAGACCUGGGUUUGAUUCCUGGCCAAUGCA
RNAcentral lists this transfer RNA (68 nucleotides) under Loxodonta africana (African savanna elephant). It matches the Rfam family "tRNA". Rfam says of the family: Transfer RNA (tRNA) molecules are approximately 80 nucleotides in length. Lineage: Eukaryota; Metazoa; Chordata; Mammalia; Proboscidea; Elephantidae. The record is from Rfam by way of RNAcentral.